UUGAUAUCACAUUAUGAAUGACAUCUUAACAAGGGUUCUUCAGUCCAUGAAUGUUAUCUUUUCAUUUAAGUCUUCUUGGACUACUUUCAUUGUUGGCCAAAUUAUUUAUUUUCCUUAUUCUCGAUAUCUACACACACUACUUUUCUCACAAUGGUACAUUAUUGGUUGUAAAAACGUUUUGCUCUCUUAAUUUCAUACUCAUCAAAAUUUUAUCUUGAUAGAAUUAAAGAACAUUAGAGCGCUAUAUUUACAACACAACAUAGAAUGUGUCUAGAUUUGUUUUAAGAGUAGAGGCUCCAGGUCCAAAGAGCUCACUUUGAUGUCCCUGUUUCUUUGUGGGGAAUACAUACACUAAUGGUUUCUGUUCUUGUUUAUAUAUAUAUCCCUUGCUAAGGCUGCAGUGGUGACUUCUCCUUGACUUUGGUUAAGCUUCUCAUCAUUCAUGUUACUGUCUUCAAAAAAGAUGCUUAUAAAUGUACCCUAUUUGCAGACUGUAGAUAGAUAUAAUCAAAUUAACAUGAAGUUAUAACUGAAAUAAGAUAGGUCCUCAAUCCAAUAUGACUGGUGUACUGUUAAAAAGACACGGGGCUCUGAGGGACCGUUCAGGAGAUAAAGGUGCCCACUGCUGAGCCUGACAACCCGAGUUUACUUUCCCAGAACCCACAAGGUGGAAGGAGAAGACAGACUCCUGCAAUUGUCCUCUGACCUCCACUACGGUACUGUGGCAUGAGUGGACCUUACCUAUCCUCCCCAAACAAAACAAAAUUCUCUAAGGUUGUUUUCAAACUGGUGAUUUCCCAACCCUAGUACAGCAUGCAAUUAAUUACGGGCAUGCACCAACAUACAUGGCCAUUUCAUUCUCCUCUCUAAUAAUUUUGUGCAUACACAUUGCAGUGUUGGAAAGUACCUACAGAGAAACACUGAUCCCUACACACCAUCCUUGAAGAACAUCUGGUCAGGAUGAUUGCCUUAUGAACGGAAAGGCAACAAUCUUAGGCUUAUUCGGGAUCGAAAAUGUUAAAGCCUUGAAAACUAAGGAAGGCACAACUCAAAUACUGGCUUCUCAAGAGAUGCAGGAGAUGUACUUUCCUUUCUGAUUAAUUAAACUUGAGAGAUGUCUGAGAACCGAAUACAAACCAGGAAUGAUAAUCUCCAGGUUUUAGAGAUUAAGAAGAAGUAGAUGAAACAAACAUGCUUUGUAGUUAUCUGAAAUGGCAUUCAUUCAUUUUGUUUGUUUGUUUUGGAGAUUUUAAAAGUUAUUUUAAUAAGGCUUGAGCAUGAGGGUUAGGAGAAAGGCACUCAGGAGAGGGCCAGACGCACAAGCGUGGCUAUGGGCUUCUCAAGGAAGUUGCUUUGAUGAAUGCUUUUAAGACUGACAUUUUUAUAUUUAACCACAAGGAACUCAAAACGUGCACAUUCACUAAAAUGAUGAUUGCUGCAUAGCAAUACUUAAGUGAAUCGGACAAAUAGAAGUAUGUGGUCAAGUGGUGGUCAACGUCUUAGAAAUCCAACAGAGAUUACUCAUGAAUGACCCGAGUUUUGGGAAUGGGAACCUACCGAAUUUUCAAGAUUCUAUUUCAGUUAGCUUUAAUAAACUAGGUAAGCAAAGUAUUCUGAAUAAGGUUUAAUUUUGUUACCCCAGAAUUACUUAAAGUAUUUCUUUUGCAUACAACUGUUCAGCCAUUACAUGAACUACUUUCAUAAUAUACUUCUUUUAUGGGUAGAAAAAAAAAAAAAAGAGUAACAAAAAAAAAAAAAAUCAAAGAUUUCCACGUGGGGUAGAGGCUUCAAAAGAAAAAAAUUAUUAUCUUUAAAAAUGAAUUUUGAGACCGAUCGGCAAAACUGCUGAGUAGAAACAGUUGGUACACGGGCCGGCUUUACAAGUAAGAGCGAGUGCAAAAUUAUAUACAUGAUGACUGGCGAUGAGGAGAGCCAUCCCGUAGGAAGUUGGGGCCGGGUGUCGGCCUGCUCAGCGGCGGCAGGCCCUGAACCGACCCGCUCCCCGCUCUCGGGCCUCCGCUGCCCGAGCGCCCCUGCUCGGCCCAGCGCACUCACCGAGAGCUCCCCACGCUGCCCGAGGGCGGGAGGCGGCACAGCGCGGACAGGGAAGCGCGCGAGGAGACGCGACGGACACCGAACCCGAGCGGGACCCCUGCAGCCGCUAAGUUCCAAACCCUUGGAGCCGCAGAGCCGGGCAGCACGCAUCUUGCCCCACAGCCACUUCCGGAAGCUCUCUAGGAAGCUCGGAGGUCUGACAGCUCUAUGGUUUCAUAAAGUCCAAACUGCCUUCAACCUAUGUUUCUGAGGAUGACCUUGAACUCUUCACAUACUUCUACCUUGACCUCCCAAGUGUUGGGAUUACAGGGUGGAGGAUACAUGUUGCUUCAUCUAAUGGACUUCUCUGACUACCUCCUCCUGAUUUUAUAUCUUACCAGUUAUAUAAUGGCACAACUGUCUCCACAAAAUAAAAAACCAUAUUUGCUUUGCUCACUAUUCUUAGUGCCUUACACAAAAUGAUAUAUUACUUACUGAAUGAUGAGUGAUUUAAGGUUUCCAAAACAUCCAGUGUCAAUACUAACUAAUGUUUUGCUGUCCCAAGAAUAAACCAUAAUUUGAUUCUCCCUGGGUUAAGCCUGAAGAUAUCUUACAUGCUUAGGUAGAUAUAAAAACAUUGAAAACUUUGGGAACAUAAAUCUAGGAUGAACCCAAAAUAUGUAGGCUCAUCUGGACAUUUGAAAAGCUAGUAGUGCACGUGAUCUCCAGAGUGCCUAUCUCAGGAUGUAAAAGCGCCUGCAGAGUAGACAGGAAGAUCAAAGCUUAUCCACCAAGAGAAAGCUAAACUGAGAGCUCCAGUAGGCUGCUCCAAUGUCAUUCUAUUUCUGCCUCAUGGAAGUUGUUUGUAAGCUCUUGAUUUAAUGAUAUUUCCAUUGUUAUGUAAAUCAUGAUACUCUCAUCAAUUCUGCUGGAUGUUGUGAACUAACUCCUGAUUUGAAGAUCAUUUAUUAUUUGCUACUUGCUAUUUUUUUCCUUUUGCUUGCUAUAUCCUCAAUUAACUCAUUCAUUUCAAAUAGAAAUACUGGAUAUCUUAGGUCAUUGCCCAUACUGUACAGAGCAUCUGCUUCUAUGAAUAUUUUUCUCAUGCAUAAGCAUUUUUUCCAAGGAGUAGAACUACUGGGUAGAGCAUGUGGGUGUCAAACCUCGUCAAGUAUAAUCAAACCCUUACUGAAUGUUUGCCCACUGCGUGAUCCCAUCACUGAUGUUUAAACAAUACUGCACAAUUAAAACUCUCUUCAAUGAUU
Molecule: long non-coding RNA, 3299 nt
Organism: Mus musculus (house mouse)
Lineage: Eukaryota; Metazoa; Chordata; Mammalia; Rodentia; Muridae
Product: predicted gene, 32724
Exons: 3
Source: RefSeq, a predicted model, not a curated record